This 84-nucleotide transfer RNA is filed under the name Burkholderia pseudomallei. Its description in RNAcentral is "tRNA-Val". The stretch from base 1 to 57 matches the Rfam family "tRNA". Rfam says of the family: Transfer RNA (tRNA) molecules are approximately 80 nucleotides in length. Their secondary structure includes four short double-helical elements and three loops (D, anti-codon, and T loops). Further hydrogen bonds mediate the characteristic L-shaped molecular structure. tRNAs have two regions of fundamental functional importance: the anti-codon, which is responsible for specific mRNA codon recognition, and the 3' end, to which the tRNAs corresponding amino acid is attached (by aminoacyl-tRNA synthetases). tRNAs cope with the degeneracy of the genetic code in two manners: having more than one tRNA (with a specific anti-codon) for a particular amino acid; and 'wobble' base-pairing, i.e. permitting non-standard base-pairing at the 3rd anti-codon position. Lineage: Bacteria; Pseudomonadati; Pseudomonadota; Betaproteobacteria; Burkholderiales; Burkholderiaceae. The record is from RNAcentral.
GGGUGCUUAGCUCAGUUGGUAGAGCGGCGCCCUUACAAGGCGUAGGUCGGGAGCUCGUGAUGUUCGAUGCGGUCGAUGCGCGCG